UUUAGCCUUCCAUAAUCAUAGUUAAAUUAUUCUAUUACAGACUUAAUCAGUGUCCCGCAAGAUAUAUGUGCUGCAGAAUCCGGAUGGUACUGUAAACGAGUUAGGCAGUGGUACAGGUGGGUAGAGGUGGGGGCUGAAGGUGAGGUGGUAUUGAAUUUAGAAACUAGUAGAGACGUGACGUGAAUAAGGAGAGGGGGACGCCAAGGACCAUGCACGAAGGUCCAUCUCGUUGCAUUAUUUUAGGUGGACCUUUGGUAAGUUAGUCCCUAAUGUGCUUGAUGAGUAGUUGAGAAGAUUUCAUUGUUUGUCCUGAUGACCACCGAGCUAAUCAAAUCAGAGGCAGUUAUUUCUCUUGAACUGUGCUUAUGCCUAUAGGCCUAUUGAGUGUAAAAGUGUUUCCCUAAACCCAUUUGAUAACCUCGUUACUAGCUUGGA
Molecule: long non-coding RNA, 435 nt
Filed under: Elaeis guineensis (African oil palm)
Lineage: Eukaryota; Viridiplantae; Streptophyta; Magnoliopsida; Arecales; Arecaceae
Description: long non-coding RNA (EGUI_LNC029221)
Source: RNAcentral